UACAGGGGGGGCAAGCGUUGUUCGGAAUUACUGGGCGUAAAGGGCCAGUAGGCGGCCAACUAAGUCCGACGUGAAAUCCCCAAGCUUAACUUGGGAACUGCGUCGGAUACUGGAUGGCUUGAAUUCGGGAGAGGGAUGCAGAAUUCCAGGUGUAGCGGUGAAAUGCGUAGAUAUCGAGAGGAACACCUGCGGCGAAGGCGGGUUGCUGGGCCGACACUGACGCUGAUGCGCGAAAGCCAGGGGAGCGAACGGG
RNAcentral lists this ribosomal RNA (253 nucleotides) under uncultured bacterium. RNAcentral describes it as "partial 16S ribosomal RNA". It matches the Rfam family "Bacterial small subunit ribosomal RNA", at positions 524 to 776 of the family's 1533-position model. The record is from RNAcentral.